This 1373-nucleotide long non-coding RNA is filed under the name Homo sapiens (human). RNAcentral describes it as "non-protein coding CKMT2-AS1:24". The record is from RNAcentral. Lineage: Eukaryota; Metazoa; Chordata; Mammalia; Primates; Hominidae.
GCUGAGUUUGUGGCGCGCUUAGUGAUGGGAUGGCCCUGUGCAGGACGCCGACACGAAAAGAUGAAGAGUUCAAUCCGUGCUGUCUGAACUCACAGUGUAGCAGGCGAGAUAGACGGGAAGAUCGGUAGGGUGGGAGAUGCCGGAAAGGCUUCCCGUGAGACUGGAUAAGAAAUCAAAAAUCUGGUGAAAUUGCCGGCAAGAGGGAGUUAAGGACAUUCCAGGCAGAGGCAAGAUUCCUAAGAUGAGGACACAGCAUCCUGGGCCACUGUCACUAAUACAAAUUUGCCUCUGGAGGGACUCUACGGAAGAUAAUUCCCCUGAAAUUUGGAGAGUUGAAUUAAGCUAGGACUGAUUCUGGCUGGAAUUUGUGGUGGCUACGUACCCUAGAGGGCCUCAAGGAAACCCACGGUUCAAGACAGCCCUGACAGAUUCUGGAGUCUAGAACAGAAAUGGAUUUGAACAUGGGCAAGGCCAACCACCCAGUUCACGGCCUGUGUACAGCAAAGAUUACGUUACAGCCUGAGAGCUAAGCCUGGAAGCUCUUUCAUCCAUCCGUUUGUCCAUCUAUCCAUCCAUCUGCUCAUCCAUCCCUCCAUCUGCUCAACAAACGUUAGAGAAUCAAUCCUUGUGUCAGAUACUGGGGCUGCCCUCAAGGAGCUUUUAUAGAGUUCAGGGUACAGCCAGGUGGGGGAGACAGAUCACUAUAAAAACCUACCACUAUAAUCCAAAGGACAAGAGCAAAAAUAGUAAAGAGGAGAGAAGACCCAAAUUUGCCUGGUGGGUCAGAGAGGGCUUUCUAGAAGAGGUAAAAAAUCUUCGGGGCUAUCACUUCACCUUGCCUGGUGGAUAAAGGGAGGACUUUCCAGAUACAGUGGACAGAAUGUGCAGAGGCAGGAGCCAUGAGUGGCAGAGGCAGGGGAGGGACUGCAGAGACAGGUUGGAGCCAAAGCACGUGGCACUGGAGCCAUAGCCAAAGGAACAAACUGUGAGACCUGGGACUUGAAUUUGGAGGUGGUGAAAAGUGACAAGGUCUUCACAGAAGAGUGAUUUUUUCAACUUAGGGAAGGCUGACCCCAGACCAAUGCUGCCAAAGUGUGGUCUGUGGGCUGUUAGCAGUUCGUGACGAUGUAAGUACAGGAAUUGAGAUUAAGCAUUUAGAACACCUACAGCACUUUGAUAGUCAUUUUACUUUUUAAAUUUUGAGCUGGCAUUUUAUAUGCCUGGUUUUUUUUUGUUUUUGUUUUUUUAUUUUUUUUGAGACAGUCUCGCUCUGUCGCCCAGGCUGGAGUGCAGUGGCGCGAUCUCUGCUCACUGCAAGCUCCGCCUCCCGGGUUCACGCCAUUCUCCUGCCUCAUCCUCCCAAGUAGCUGGGA